CAAACCUGAUGGGUGGGAUUCUGUGUGGCUUGACUGUUUUGCUUCUAAUGGCCAUCAUUGGUCUGGCUGUAACAGUCAGGAAUCGUCACAAAGCUGAUGAAGACAAAGCUCCUCAAGCAAGCGAGAUCUAUGCAACAGUGAAUUUUGCUCGAAAUGGAAGAAGAAGAAGAGAGCUGGAGCCAAAUGUUAUUCAGAUAGACUGAACUGCAGCUCAGUGUGAAACUGAUGCCUCCUUAAUCUGCUGCUUGUAUGAUUCUUGUGGUUGGGGCUGUUACCAUUAUAUUUGUUAAAUGAUCGUCAUUUUACAGUGAAGAUCCUUUUCUGUCUGAAGUGAAUGUGAUUGGUGUUGAAGGAGGAGGAAUAAAGACAUUUGUGUGUGUCCACAGUCUCUGAUAGUGAGAGUCAAAGUGAGCAGCAGUGGAGGAGAGAGUGAGAACAUCUCACUGGUCAGACAGGAAGAGACAACACAGUGUGGUCUGAGGACAGCUGAGGUGGAAAUCAAGAGGCCUGUUAGCUCAAAGCUUUGUAAGUCUGAACGGAAGCAGUGAACACUGGCUGACUUUUCUCAGCAUAUACAUUUGUGUAGAUGCUUGUAUGUAACAUCACUGUGGAAUUUGGAUGUUUUUGUUGAUGUAAUUGUGCUGCAAUUCUGAAUAAAAAUAGAAUUUAUUUUAAAA
Long non-coding RNA from Stegastes partitus (bicolor damselfish), 677 nucleotides. RefSeq lists it as uncharacterized. The transcript has 3 exons. NCBI's taxonomy places the organism in Eukaryota, Metazoa, Chordata, Actinopteri, Pomacentridae. The record is from RefSeq and is a predicted model, not a curated record.